GUUUGAAUAGUUUAAUGGUAAAACCUUAAUCUCAUACGUUAAAGAUAUAAGUUCGAUUCUUUUUUCAAACU
This 71-nucleotide transfer RNA is filed under the name Emericellopsis fuci. Its description in RNAcentral is "Acremonium fuci tRNA-Met". It matches the Rfam family "tRNA". Rfam says of the family: Transfer RNA (tRNA) molecules are approximately 80 nucleotides in length. Their secondary structure includes four short double-helical elements and three loops (D, anti-codon, and T loops). The record is from RNAcentral. Lineage: Eukaryota; Fungi; Ascomycota; Sordariomycetes; Hypocreales; Bionectriaceae. RNAcentral also lists the same sequence under 2 other names.